RNAcentral lists this non-coding RNA (103 nucleotides) under Photorhabdus luminescens. The record is from RNAcentral. Lineage: Bacteria; Pseudomonadati; Pseudomonadota; Gammaproteobacteria; Enterobacterales; Morganellaceae.
GAGAGCCGUAUGCAUAGAAAUGUGCAUGUACGGUUCGGUGGGGGGACAACGGCUAACCCUAUCGGCAAAAAUGUUUGAAUAGGGCGCACGUGUUCUACCCAAU